This 349-nucleotide unclassified non-coding RNA is filed under the name soil metagenome. Its description in RNAcentral is "partial contains 5.8S ribosomal RNA, internal transcribed spacer 2, and large subunit ribosomal RNA". The stretch from base 1 to 120 matches the Rfam family "5.8S ribosomal RNA", at positions 35 to 154 of the family's 154-position model. The record is from RNAcentral.
GAUGAAGAACGUAACGAAAUGCGAUAAGUAAUGUGAAUUGCAGAAUUCAGUGAAUCAUCGAAUCUUUGAACGCACAUUGCGCCCGCCAGUAUUCUGGCGGGCAUGCCUGUCCGAGCGUCAUUUCAACCCUCGAACCCCUCCGGGGGGUCGGCGUUGGGGAUCGGCCCUUUACCGGCCGGCCCCGAAAUACAGUGGCGGUCUCGCCGCAGCCUCUCCUGCGCAGUAGUUUGCACACUCGCACCGGGAGCGCGGCGCAGUCCAAUGCCGUAAAACACCCAACUCUCUGAAAUGUUGACCUCGGAUCAGGUAGGAAUACCCGCUGAACUUAAGCAUAUCAAUAAGCGGAGGA